Non-coding RNA from Trichonephila inaurata madagascariensis, 71 nucleotides. The record is from the annotation of a GenBank genome assembly. NCBI's taxonomy places the organism in Eukaryota, Metazoa, Arthropoda, Arachnida, Araneae, Nephilidae.
GUCCUGUAGCGCAAUGGCUUGCGAGUUGGACUUCUAAUCCAAAGGUCGUGAUUCGAAUACGACCUGGGAUG